UGAGCGUAAAAAAUAAAAAUACAAAUCAAGCAGUGAAAUCAUACGAUGUUCUCUGACAUCGCUUCACAAGUGUGACACUCCUUUGUUUCCUUUAACACGCGGCGUUCAACUUGCAAUAGAAGCGUUCCCACUGAUUGACACCACAGUCGCGCGUCUGCCUUCGUAGCUGAAGAAAGACUCGGCUGUGUGCAGAGUGGCUUUCACUACCGAGUUCACGCUUUAUAAAAAAUCCUUCUGGAAGAGCGGAAAGCAGUCAGCGGCCCACACUGCGGCCCCCGCUGGCACUUCCCCCGGGUCGCCGGCCGCGCCGCUACCAGCUCAGCUGCGCACGGCGCGGGCGGUGCCUGAGAGCGCCGCGGCUCUGCGGCUGUGUUACAGCGCCCCCUGCAGGAGGAGCGCCCGCACCGCCGGCUGCUCCGGCAGCGUCGGCUGAGGAAAUGGUUCUCAAGUGCUCGCUGAGUGACGAUGUGUAUGGCGACAUAUAUUCAGCUGCAGUGUAAGCAUAGCAAGAUAUUUCAGUGGUCGGCAAAUUCAGUCCCACAUGAUGCAUGGUGAUUGCUGAAACCUGCUACCUGCUGGCAGCAGUGAAAAAGAAUGAGGAGAUGUGUGAUGAUAAUGCCUUAAGAUGUCAUGGACUCAAUAUAUUCCACUGGCUGUCCAGGGACUUGAGUAUCUUAGUUCAUUCUGCUUUAAGUGGCAACAAAUUGUCUCCUGCCUGCUCUCAGAAGGAAAGAUUUUGCUGGAUGGAAAACUUGCCCCAGCAUGUGGUGAACACAAAGGGCACUGCUGCUGUGCCCUGGCUCCAUGGAGAGGACUUGCCUGGCUUACUCAUAUUUGACAAGCUUCUAGUUCAGUAUGAACUGCUGCCAUGACUUCAGUGCCUCUGAUGAGGAUUGCUGCAGGAACUGCUUGAGCUCCCAACAGAUUUACUGGGAAAAGAGAAACUCUUCUGGAAAAUGAUUCAGAGCAGAAAUCUAUCUUAACUGUACUCCAUGUCCCCCUGAAGAGAAGAAUUCUUUUCAUUGAAGAGGAGUUAAAGAUUGACUUUGUAAAUGCUCCUGCUUUGCCCCAUCUGUUGCAGCUUCAGAGUGCUGGAGGUGGUCCAGGCCCACAAGCAUGCAGGAGCAUUCCACACACCCCCCAAAGAUAAAAGGCUCCUCUAAGGAUCACCCACUUUCAAUAAGAAGAGCAAAGAACUGAGCAACCCUUCCUCCUAUAAAAACAGGCAGACAGAGGAGCAGAUCUGGUGGCCAGCUCUGACCCUUUCUGACCAGUCUGGUGGGCUCAGCUUGCCAACAAUUUGUGAUCAUUCUUAUAUUCUUUCCUGCAUUUUCCACGACUCCUGAAAUUUCACAGCCUGGGACCUAACGAUGUUUUUCAAGGUCACUUCCAAGAAAAUAUUAAACCCUCUGAGAGUAAACUUUGCUGUAAUAAAUUGUUUUUGUCAUGCUAUGCUUCA
This 1459-nucleotide long non-coding RNA is filed under the name Phasianus colchicus (ring-necked pheasant). RNAcentral's name for it is "lncRNA (ENSPCLG00000000929.1)". The record is from RNAcentral. Lineage: Eukaryota; Metazoa; Chordata; Aves; Galliformes; Phasianidae.